This 250-nucleotide ribosomal RNA is filed under the name uncultured bacterium. Its description in RNAcentral is "partial 16S ribosomal RNA". It matches the Rfam family "Bacterial small subunit ribosomal RNA", at positions 524 to 773 of the family's 1533-position model. The record is from RNAcentral.
UACGAAGGGGGCUAGCGUUGUUCGGAAUUACUGGGCGUAAAGCGCACGCAGGCGGUCCGUUAAAUUAGAAGUGAAAGCCCUGGGCUCAACCCGGGAAUUGCUUUUGAAACUGGCGGACUUGAAUUCGAGAGAGGGUAGUGGAAUUCCCAGUGUAGAGGUGAAAUUCGUAGAUAUUGGGAAGAACACCGGUGGCGAAGGCGGCUACCUGGCUCGAGAUUGACGCUCAUGUGCGAAAGCGUGGGGAGCAAAC